RNAcentral lists this unclassified non-coding RNA (379 nucleotides) under uncultured Gammaproteobacteria bacterium. Its description in RNAcentral is "contains 16S-23S intergenic spacer region". The record is from RNAcentral. Lineage: Bacteria; Pseudomonadati; Pseudomonadota; Gammaproteobacteria.
UCCGGUUUGGCACCGGCAGUCUCCCUAGAGUUCCCGGCAUGAUCCGCUGGCAACUAAGGACAGGGGUUGCGCUCGUUGCGCCACUUAACCCAACAUCUCACGACACGAGCUGACGACAGCCAUGCAGCACCUGUGUCCAGGUUCCCUUUCGGGCACCCCUCCAUCUCUCCAGGCUCUCGGACAUGUCAAGGGUAGGUAAGGUUUUUCGCGUUGCAUCGAAUUAAUCCACAUAAUCCACCGCUUGUGCGGGUCCCCGUCAAUUCCUUUGAGUUUUAACCUUGCGGCCGUACUCCCCAGGCGGUCAACUUCACGCGUUAGCUUCGUUACCAAGGAAUUACUUCCCCGACAACCAGUUGACAUCGUUUAGGGCGUGGACUAC